Molecule: ribosomal RNA, 429 nt
Filed under: Gemmatimonadota bacterium
Lineage: Bacteria; Pseudomonadati; Gemmatimonadota
Description: Gemmatimonadetes bacterium partial 16S ribosomal RNA
Rfam family: Bacterial small subunit ribosomal RNA
Source: RNAcentral
UAGGGAAUCUUCGGCAAUGGACGAAAGUCUGACCGAGCAACGCCGCGUGAGUGAAGAAGGUUUUCGGAUCGUAAAACUCUGUUGUUAGAGAAGAACAAGGACGUUAGUAACUGAACGUCCCCUGACGGUAUCUAACCAGAAAGCCACGGCUAACUACGUGCCAGCAGCCGCGGUAAUACGUAGGUGGCAAGCGUUGUCAGGAUUUAUUGGGCGUAAAGCGAGCGCAGGCGGUUUCUUAAGUCUGAUGUGAAAGCCCCCGGCUCAACCGGGGAGGGUCAUUGGAAACUGGGAGGCUUGAGUGCAGAAGAGGGGAGUGGAAUUCCAUGUGUAGCGGUGAAAUGCGUAGAUAUAUGGAGGAACACCAGUGGCGAAGGCGGCUCUCUGGUCUGUAACUGACGCUGAGGCUCGAAAGCGUGGGGAGCAAACAGG